AAACAAUGAAUGAAACAAAUUAGUGACCUA
This 30-nucleotide small RNA is filed under the name Arabidopsis thaliana (thale cress). Its description in RNAcentral is "ATSL190360". Lineage: Eukaryota; Viridiplantae; Streptophyta; Magnoliopsida; Brassicales; Brassicaceae. The record is from RNAcentral.